Long non-coding RNA from Jatropha curcas, 879 nucleotides. RefSeq lists it as uncharacterized. The record is from RefSeq and is a predicted model, not a curated record. Lineage: Eukaryota; Viridiplantae; Streptophyta; Magnoliopsida; Malpighiales; Euphorbiaceae.
AUGCCUCACCCCUCCCCUCCCCUCCCCCGUUCAGCCAUUUUUUCUGGUCACCGGCGACCACCAGCGCCAUAUAUCCCUGCCGCCGCCGUCCCUCUCUUUUUCUUCUUCCUUUCUUUCUUCCCUUCCCUGCGUUUGCGUUUCUGGCGUGAGUUGGAGCAGCAGAGAGUCGCGAUCCACAGAUCGAGCGACUCCUCGUCGCGCCGGCGAGCCUGCGUCACGCCACCACGCCAUCGCGUCGCCGCCAGCAGCUUCUCUCCGUCCUCGGUCAGAUCGCGCCGCGUUACACUCAGCCCUCCCCUGUCUUCGAGCGAACGAACGCAGCACGAUCUCCAGCUCGUCACGCCGCCAACAGCGUCCUGCAGCCGCGCCACAGCUCCGCCGUUGCUCCGGCAAGACUCCGGCCACCUGCUUGCAGUCCCGAUGAGCGCAGCAAUCUGUUUUGGUCUACUCAGUGCCACUGCUCUCACCUGCUCUUCGUUCCGGCGCGCGUAGCUUCCGUUUCCGGUCAAACAAAUUCGGGCAUUAAUAUAUUUGGAUUGCUCGGAUCCAUCUAUUGCUCUUCCCGGUCAGAAUCAGAGUUAGAGCUUCAUCUUCUGCCACGGUAGUAGAAGGCAGUUGAUCCGACUAAGCUCUGCAAUCUUUCCUGCAAGGCUAUGAAAGUAAAUUUCUAAAUUUUUUAUUUAGUUAAUUGGUGUUGUUAAAUGUAUAAACUACUCUACUUUCAAAUUAUUGUUGAACUCUGCAGCUGUAGGGAUUAGCGUAUUUUUAAUUGGAUGAUUUAAUUGUUUAAUUCAGCGCAUAUGAACUGAUAGCCCAUAUUAUGAAUGUGAUGUAUUACGAUUAGGCCCUGAUUAAAUUUUAUUCGAGAUAAUUGAGAUA